GAAUGUGGGUGACAUCUGGCUACAACACCCCCCAACCAGGUGAUUGUAGAUUGAUUUGGCUCACCUGGAUGGCUAAAGGGUGUCCUUCGUCUCACAUUGUUCCAAGUAGAGCCCUUCAAAAGCUGAGAAUUUGAUCAAAAAGAGGAAGCCUUCCAAAUAGAGGAGCACCUGUCUCUAGUCAGA
Molecule: small nuclear RNA, 183 nt
Filed under: Mustela putorius furo (domestic ferret)
Lineage: Eukaryota; Metazoa; Chordata; Mammalia; Carnivora; Mustelidae
Description: 7SK RNA
Rfam family: 7SK RNA
About the family: 7SK was discovered as an abundant small nuclear RNA in the mid-70s but a possible function has only recently been suggested. Two independent studies have found that 7SK RNA binds the CDK9/cyclin T complex (known as elongation factor P-TEFb).
Source: Rfam by way of RNAcentral